This 254-nucleotide ribosomal RNA is filed under the name uncultured bacterium. RNAcentral describes it as "partial 16S ribosomal RNA". It matches the Rfam family "Bacterial small subunit ribosomal RNA", at positions 524 to 776 of the family's 1533-position model. The record is from RNAcentral.
UACGUAGGCAGCGAGCGUUGUUCGGAGUUACUGGGCGUAAAGCGUAUGCAGGCGGAUCGUUAAGUCGGGGGUGAAAUCCCGAGGCUCAACCUCGGAACUGCCUUCGAUACUGGCGACCUUCGAGUCCGGGAGAGGUGAGUGGAACUCCGAGUGUAGAGGUGAAAUUCGUAGAUAUUCGGAAGAACACCAGUGGCGAAGGCGGCUCACUGGCCCGGUACUGACGCUGAGAUACGAAAGCGUGGGGAGCAAACAGG